RNAcentral lists this long non-coding RNA (4473 nucleotides) under Gallus gallus (chicken). RNAcentral's name for it is "long non-coding RNA NONGGAT004757". Lineage: Eukaryota; Metazoa; Chordata; Aves; Galliformes; Phasianidae. The record is from RNAcentral.
CGCCGAGCCACGCCCCCCUGCAGCCACGCCCCCUUCGCUUCCGCCUCUCAGCCAACCACGCCCCUCAGCCGCCGUCUCGCUGUCACGUGGCCGCGCUGCCCCGUCGCGCCGUAACCAUGGCGACGGCGGUACACACGCGGCGGGCGCAGGCCGUGGCACGGCGGCCGCAGUGAGGGCUAUAGAAGCCGCCCAGCCCGCCGUGCUGCCGUCCCGAGGCCAUGCGGCCUGAAAAACCCUCGUGGGGCCUGGGCUGCCGGGUUUUUUUAUUGUUGGCUUUCUUUCUUUUUGUGAUUUGUUGAGUUUCAUCUUGUUUUAUGUAGGAGGUGUACUUAGUCUUGAGCGAGAAGGGGCUUGUUCCUACCCAGAGCAACGUCCCUGCAGCUGUCCUCAUACCCCCCUCCCCUGGCCUUGCUGGUAGUUAAGCAACUAUGGAAGAAGCCGAAGCAGAAGGAGGAGGAAGACACAAUCCCUGCCCCCUAAAACCUACCGUUCUGCUACAGAAACAGCCGUGUGUCACAGCCCCAGCCGAUGCACACCAUGCACUGUCACAGCCGUCACGCACACACAGCCUUCUCAGAAGCUGCCUCGUGCUUCUGUUGAGGCAAAGAGGUGCUGUGCUCGUGCCUUGGAAUCCGUACACCACAUCAAUAGCGAAAGGCAAACAACACGCCAAGGAGCUGAAUAGACACAGGUUAUCUUGUUCGCUGCAACCGCUUGCAAACGGCGAAGGCGGCCCUGCAGAAGUCGAGUGCCUUGCCCUGUUUCUAUCAUCGGGCCUCCUCUUGGGUUGCCUGCUUCCUACGAGACCUGGUUCCCAGACAGGUUCUGAAAGAACAACGCCCUGAAGCAAGAGAUUACCAGACAGCUUGGCUGCAUUUCAUCCUGAGCCACGGGGGCUUCAAGCAGAGCUCCCCGAGCUCCUUACCACAAUACACACUGCUCCUCCAGCAGCAAGCAGAGAAAGCAGAAGCUGUCGCGGUGCAUUAACUGGUAGAAAGAAUAUGCUUAGAUAUGCCUGACAUCCCACUUGCAGAGUCCAAUGUCAUCCUUCGAACCACUUCCUCCUCGUCAGCAGCUUCCUGUGUGAUUUCCGGCCUUGUUGUGUAAGGGCAGCGCAAAUGAAAGGAUUCCUCGUUUACAGAAAGCCAUUUUCUGUCCUCAGCAGCUUCUCCUUCAACUCUACUUACAAAAUCCCGUUUAAAAGCAGUUUCCUAACAGGUUGGUUAACAUAGGAACAUAAAACCUCACUGUUUCUGUUACAAAAGGUGUUGUCUGAGAAAGAGUACAGCAGGGUUUCUAUUGCACGCACAUGAGUUAGUUUUUCACUUAAAUCACUCGGGGAUCUUAAUAGCUACAAAUGUCUCGGGCUUUAUUUCCUGAAGAAAUUAAUUUCCUUUCCAUCCCCAUCCAAAACCCACUCUGAAGAGCAAAUGUAUUCCGAGUAAUUUGCAUGCACCGUGCACCAUUCCUACUAUGGUGAGGAUAUCGCUCCCUCCCACGGACACUAAAGCUGCUUACUCAGUGCUGAAGGCCAAACUCUAAUAAUGCUUUGAUGGAUCCUAAACUGAGGUAAGUUGGCAUCUCCCGGCAGCUCCAGAAACUGAGCUUCGGCAGAAAUAUAACCUCCUUUGUACACAAUUAGAUUCUUUUAGUCUCACUUAAACUGCCACCCACCUUCUAUUGUGUGCUAUAAACCUUCCAAACAGCCUGAACUUUCCUCUUUUUUUUUUAUUAAUAUGUAAAUUAAAUCAGUUUACCUUCCUGCUAGUCAUCUUCAUCUGGGUACAAAUUAAUCUAAGGAGAACCCAGCUGAGACAAAGGCAGGCUGCUUAUCCUCCACCAUAUCCUCCUGCUUUUUUUCCACAUCUAGUUGGCUUGUCUGCUUAGAGUCAAGCCCAUUUACUCCACCUCUUUUGUUGUUAAGAACACUGUCAAUGAACUAAACCCAAGGAGCUGUGCAGCACAGACGAAAUGCAAGGCUCGUGAAGACCAAACACAUUCGUUGCUCCUGACCAACAGCGCUUCCUGUGAUAAGAAUAGUUUCUGCUUACCACAAGCAGUCACGAACUUAUGCACAAAUUCCACUUUCUGAGAACUAAAUCAGUGUGCCUCAGGCUGACCUUCAUGUGAAUCUGGGCAGGUUUGGUUCACACGGCUCGGCAAAAAACAAUCUCAGCUCCUGGAGUUCGUCCACAGGUCUGCACUCAUUCACCCCAGGCUUUUCAGCUCUGGCAGGCAGCUCGCCACAUUUCACCCACAACAGUUCUGAUAAAUCCACCUUUGGUGUAAUUUCCACCUGCAGCCUUUAAGCACCUUGCAUUAAUUCUGCGCUUGAGGUUGAACACAGAAGGUGGACUUCAGGUUUAUUGUAGAAUGCUGGUAUGACUCCAAGGAACCUGUUUCGGUAGCAACAAGCUGAAUUCAGCAGCAGUUUCUGUUUUACACAGGUUGUUUUCCUAGAUCGUUGACAUCACCCCGCCUGCCUGGGCUCCUCUGCUGUGAUGACAUCCUCACCGUGUGACCCCCUUGCCUUUGAGAGCUGUGGCUUUCCAGAAUCAUGAUUUUGGUUAGCAUACCUGAGCCACAGAUACACAGCAGCAAAUGAUGAACAUAAGAGCUCUCCAAGUCCCAGUUGUAACAGUGGAGCUGAUGUCUGCAGUCCUCAGUUAUCUAAUUACCCUUUGUGGCUUCAGUAAAACGAAGACAGUGCUACUUGGGAUCUUCCCAAGCCCCCCAGGACUCGGUUGGUUAGCAUAUGUGAAAGGUUAGGAUUUGUAUGACGCUUUCUGAACAGCAGAUGCAUUUGGAUUUCCCAGUGGCUUGCACCUUCUUCAUUGCUUUCAGCCAAAAGUAAUCAGCAUAUCACAUGCAAAGCAGUAUCUAGUAUCUUUGCACUUCUCGUUUUAUACUUGGCGAGGUCGUACGAGACUUUCACGGCUUUGACUCCUGCCCUCAUGCAGCUGGGAUGGCCACUGGCAACCUCAGUGCUUGGACCGAGCUGGAGCUGCAGUUCCAGGAAUGUGGCCUGACCCAGUCCCCUGUGAUGGAGCUGGGAUUGCUCCAACUCCUCAGUGGAGCUUCACUGACUUGCAGUGACCAGUGCCUGGCCAUCUCCUUCCUGCCUUUGAUUUUGGUUUGUUCACAGACCAUGGUGGAACCAAGGAGGGACGUCAACCUCAAGAUACACUUGGCAAGCUGACAUGGCCAGAGCUACUGGAAAAACACCAGCACAGACAGCCAUUUCCCCAUGAUCCCCAGAUAUUUACAACCUUCCAGUUCUACUGAGCAGGUUGCUUUGCAAUUGACAACAGAAAGAAAGGUGGCUUCAAGACAGAGAGAUUCCUACGCACCAGAGAUUAUUCCACAGACCAGAGGCACCUCUCCAUUUAAUGCAGCCCAACAGAAGGUAACACACCUGGUCUUCACCAAGACAGCCCAUUGAUAAGAAAAUGAAAACCACACUGGCCUUCCAUGCCUUCACGGUGGAUACCAAGGAAGCCAAGCCUAGCACAGACAGAGCAAAAGAGAGAGGCCAUGGUCUUCAGGCUGACAAGGGCUGCAGAAGCUUGCAAUCAUCUCAAAACCUGAGACUGCUAUCAGGAGCUGAGGCUCUUCAAGUAAAUUCCAUGAAGGGACCUGGAACUCCAGCAUGCAGAGCCAGGACUGGCAGCAGCGGGGAGAGCUCAGUCAUACACCACUCAUCAGCUCUAAGCUGAGGGAAUCACCACGAGGGAAAGAGGAGAGGCAAAGGAAAUAAAUCAUCUGAUAUCCUGUCAGCAAACUGCCAUCAGUGCUUUGAGACUGGAGGCGUUUCUCCUACCCCAGAAGAGCAUUGAAAAAAAAAAGUCUAGCUGAUAACUUGGACAGGGUUCAGGUAUGUUUGUGUGCAUACCAGCAGUUAAACUGAUUUCUUCCACUAUCUUAUCUGUCCAUUUCUGGCUUUGAAGGGGAAGAAGUUUGGCAGGCGAGUUGCUCUUGGAAUGCACUCAGUAAACCAUGGACAGGAGAACCAAGGAGCAUAAAUAGAAGUAGCCAUAGGUGUAGCAGCUGGGAGCCUGACUUCUGGCUUCUAUUCCGAGCUCUACUCAUGACUCACUUGACAACCUUGGAAAGCCACUUCACCUCUCCCUGCUCCAGCAUUCUCACAGGCACAGCUCACCCAUUUCACAGGUACCCCAGGCAGAGGAACCCCACUGCUUCCAGCUGGGUAAGCAAUUCUGGAGGAAGGACCUCAUCCCUCUUCCUCUGUUAGCCCCAGGCCAUUCAGCCCCACAGGUCAGGGCACCUGGAGGGGAACUGGCAACUUGAACCAAGUGCAUCUCGUGAAGCUUUUUGGGAUCCAUCAAGGAAAGGAAAAGCACUUUAACAAGAUGUUGCUAAUUAUAGCUUGACAGCACAUAACACAUUCCUGCUCUGGACAGAGCUCUGCUAUCAGCCAACUCAAUUAUACAUUAUCUUUGCCCAAUUCCCUCC